AAGUGCAGAAGAGAGAAAUGAUAAUGAAAAAGAAAACGUUGAGAGGAAUGAUGAAACAGGAUAUAACAAAGAAGCAGAGAACAAAGAAAAUGAAAGCGAAGACAUCCAAGAAAAGAGCAAUGAAGAUGGUGACACCACAGGAAAUGAAGAUAGCAAAGAGAAUGUAAGUGAAGAGACUUUAGAAAAGGUUAAUGGAGAAGGUGAUGCUACAAAUAAUGAAGAAAGCAAAGAGGGUGAAAGUGAAGAGAAGCAUGAACAAAGCAACGGAGAAAAUGACACCAUGGGAAAUGAAGAUAGCAAAGAGAAUGGAAGUGAAGAGAAGCAUCAAAGCAGUGAAGAAAAUGUCACCACGGGAAAUGAAGAUAGCAAAGAGAAUGGAAGUGAAGAGAAGCAUGAGGAAAGCAGUGAAGAAAAUGUCACCACAGGAAAUGAAGAUAGCAAAGAGAACGGAAGUGAAGAGAAGCAUGAGGAAAGCAGUGAAGAAAAUGUCACCACAGGAAAUGAAGAUGGCAAAGAGAAUGGAAGUGAAGAGAAGCAUGAGGAAAGCAGUGAAGAAAAUGACACCACGGGAAAUGUGGAGAGCAAAGAGAUCCAAGAAAAGAACACUGGUGAAAUUCUUAGUACAAAUAAUGAAGAUAACAAAGAGAAUGGAAAUGAAGAGGCCCUAGAAAAGAACAAUGGAGAAAAUGUUAUCUCAAAUAAUGAAGAUGGCAAAGAGAAUGAAAGUGAAGAGACCCAAGAAAAGAGCAAUGGAGAAAAUGAAAAUAUCCAGGAAAAGAACAGUGACGAAAAUGAGACAACAGGAAAUGGAGAUAGCAAAGAGAAGGGAAGUGAAGAGACUCCAGAAAAUGGCUCUGGAGAAAAUGUUGCUACUAAUAAUGAAGAUAGCAAAGAGAAUGGAAGCGAGGAGACUGAACAAAAGAGCAAUGAACAAAAUGAUACUGCAGAAAAUAAAGAUGGCAAAGAGAAUGGAAGUGAGGAGUCUGAACAAAAGAACAAUGAACAAACUGACACCGCAGAAAAUGGAAAUGGCAAAGAGAAUGAAAGUGAGGAGACCCGUGAUAAGAGCAAUGAAGAGAAUGAUCAUGCGGAAAAUGGGGAGAGCAAGGAGAACAAAGUAGAGGAAGGUGAAAGUAAGGGGAUUGAAGAAGAGAAACUUAGAAAUGAGAAGUUGAUUGAGAGCAAAUCAACUAGUGAGGAACAUGGAG
RNAcentral lists this long non-coding RNA (1208 nucleotides) under Daucus carota (carrot). RNAcentral describes it as "long non-coding RNA (DCAR_LNC005250)". Lineage: Eukaryota; Viridiplantae; Streptophyta; Magnoliopsida; Apiales; Apiaceae. The record is from RNAcentral.